RNAcentral lists this ribosomal RNA (467 nucleotides) under uncultured bacterium. RNAcentral describes it as "partial 16S ribosomal RNA". It matches the Rfam family "Bacterial small subunit ribosomal RNA", at positions 28 to 507 of the family's 1533-position model. The record is from RNAcentral.
GAUGAACGCUGGCGGCGUGCUUAACACAUGCAAGUCGAACGGAAAGGCUCAAGCUUGCUUGGGUACUCGAGUGGCGAACGGGUGUGUAACACGUGGGUGAUCUGCCCUGCACUUCGGGAUAAGCCUGGGAAACUGGGUCUCAUACCGGAUAGGACCCCUUCUUGGGUGUUGUGGCGGAGAGAUUUGUCGGUGUGGGUUGAGCUCGCUGCCUAUCAGCUUGUUGGUGGGGUGAUGGCCUACCAAGUCGUCGACGGGUAGCCGGCCAGAGAGGGUGUACGGGAUCCGUGGGACCGAACCCGGGCACAGGCUUGUGUUCUUAGCAGCAGGGGGAGAGUUUGAACUAUGUGCGCAAGCGCAGUGCUGAGAGGAGUUGUAGGGGAUAAAGGCAUUAUGGUUGUGAAAUCCUUCCGGCAAGGACGACGCCUUUUAUGGCGGUACCUGGAGAAGAAGCACCGGCUAACUAGGUG